UACGUAGGGUGCAAGCGUUAAUCGGAAUUACUGGGCGUAAAGCGUGCGCAGGCGGUUAUGUAAGUCAGAUGUGAAAUCCCCGGGCUCAACCUGGGAAUGGCAUUUGAGACUGCAUGGCUAGAGUGUGUCAGAGGGGGGUAGAAUUCCACGUGUAGCAGUGAAAUGCGUAGAUAUGUGGAGGAAUACCGAUGGCGAAGGCAGCCCCCUGGGAUAACACUGACGCUCAAGCACGAAAGCGUGGGGAGCAAACAGG
RNAcentral lists this ribosomal RNA (253 nucleotides) under uncultured bacterium. Its description in RNAcentral is "partial 16S ribosomal RNA". It matches the Rfam family "Bacterial small subunit ribosomal RNA", at positions 524 to 776 of the family's 1533-position model. The record is from RNAcentral.